GUACGGAAGGCAGCAGUGGGGAAUCUUGCGCUAAUGCGGGAAACCGUGACGCAGCGACGCCGCGUGGGGGAAGAAGGCCUUCGGGUUGUAAACCUCUUUCAGGAGGGACGAAGCUACUCGGGUUAAUAGCCCAGAGGGUGACGGUACCUCCAGAAGAAGCCCCGGCUAACUACGUGCCAGCAGCCGCGGUAAUACGUAGGGGGCUAGCGUUGUCCGGAUUUAUUGGGCGUAAAGAGCGUGUAGGCGGCCAGACAGGUCUGCUGUGAAAACUCGAGGCUCAACCUCGAGAUGUCGGCGGAAACCUUCUGGCUAGAGUCCGGAAGAGGAGAGUGGAAUUCCUGGUGUAGCGGUGAAAUGCGCAGAUAUCAGGAAGAACACCUAUGGCGAAGGCAGCUCUCUGGGACGGUACUGACGCUGAGACGCGAAAGCGUGGGGAGCGAACAGGAUUAGAUACCCGUGUAGUCCC
This 466-nucleotide ribosomal RNA is filed under the name uncultured bacterium. Its description in RNAcentral is "bacterial SSU rRNA". It matches the Rfam family "Bacterial small subunit ribosomal RNA", at positions 339 to 797 of the family's 1533-position model. The record is from RNAcentral.